Molecule: long non-coding RNA, 257 nt
Filed under: Elaeis guineensis (African oil palm)
Lineage: Eukaryota; Viridiplantae; Streptophyta; Magnoliopsida; Arecales; Arecaceae
Description: long non-coding RNA (EGUI_LNC056495)
Source: RNAcentral
UAUGAAUCAACUAGUGACCUAAUCAAAAUAUAAUCUACCAUGUUGGCCUGGUAAGUGAGAUCAACGAAAAAGAUCUAUCCUUAACUCACCGUAGACACAUCUAGGUGAAUAGCUCUCAAUUAAAAAUCACUUGAUCGAAUCUGUCAAACUAACCUUAGACACUAACUGGUUAAUUACUUUUGAUUUGGCACACCAGAAGAUUCAGACUCAACCACGGAGUCAUGAUCAUGGUCCAUUUAUUAGGAUCAAACACAUGG